This 2257-nucleotide long non-coding RNA is filed under the name Sander lucioperca (pikeperch). RNAcentral's name for it is "lncRNA (ENSSLUG00000004983.1)". The record is from RNAcentral. Lineage: Eukaryota; Metazoa; Chordata; Actinopteri; Perciformes; Percidae.
GAACAAUGUUAAUCUGAACUAACAAUUUUCUAGUCAACUUUCAUGUGACCAGUUAACCUGACACGCACACACACACACACACAUAUAUGUUUCUAGUGGUAUACUUAUGGGGUCCAGUUGAGCUCACACACACACAUAUGUUUCUAGUGGUAUACUUAUGGGGUCCAGUUGAGCUCACACACACACAUAUGUUUCUAGUGGUAUACUUAUGGGGUCCAGUUGAGCUCACACACACAUAUGUUUCUAGUUGUAUACUUAUGGGGUCCAGUUGAGCUCACACACAUGUAUACGUUUCUAGUCUUAUCUUGGUGGGGUCCUCCCGUAUGUAUAUCACUCUUAAGUGAUUUUACAUUAUUUCAGCAUCUUUCAAUAUUUAAACUCAAGUUGUUACAGGUAACAUUUUUCAUACACACUACCUUUUCUAACUUGUGAAUCUCUCCACAUACAUGAUUACUGUCAGUUCUUAAUGUGUUCCUGUUUUUUAUAUAAAUUCCAGGUGACAAGCCACCAGACAGAGACGCUCCCUGUUGAUCAAACAUCCCAUGAGGAUUCAGACAUCGAUGCUGCUACCACACAGAUGACAAGCCACCAGACAGAGACGCUCCCUGUUGAUCAAACAUCCCAUGAGGAUUCAGACAUCGAUGCUGCUACCACACAGGUGUGUACUGUCAAAGGUGUUUCCCUUGUGGAUUAUCUGUUAACUGAUGAAACAGAUGAGGAUUGUAUCGAAGACCAACCUCUGACUCCACACUGUGAUGACAUUUUUGGAAAGCAGAGUAGGAGUGAAAACAUUCUGAUGGAUAGAGUAUCCGAUUUUUCUGAGCCUCUGUAUGAUUCAAAUGAGACUAAAGUGGAGGAAACCGAUGAAGAGGAUUCUAUAAUAGGCCAUUCCAGUGUGCAAGCAGAUGGGGAACUUGUUCCAAAGCUGAGAAGGACGAAAAGCAUUCUGGUAAACAAACUGCUGCCAAACGAAGCUGGACACCAGAGGAAUGUGCAUGCAUGUGAAUGCAUCAUGAUGAGCCAAGUUCCAAGGAAAACAGACUGUCAGCGCUGCAUUACUGCCGAACCUCAAGCCCUUGCAAAUAGAGACUGGAAAGCAGUUAAAUUCUUCAUCAAAAAUCGAAUUACUGCCCUGAGGAGAAGAAAACUAUAGUGACAGCACUUCACUAAACGGGUAGAAACAUUAGGCUGGAGGGAGAACCCCUAAAAGUGUUUGUGCUCUUUCUCUAGUAAUUAGGGGUCCAAGCCCGAAGUGGCAUGGGAACCGCAUUUGCAAGGCAGUUUUAGUAGUUUUUGUUCUCCUUGUAUUCUUCUUGUGUUGUCCUGUUAGUUAUUUUUUGUCUUCAAUAUAAAAAGCGGAUCCAGACCAAUCCAUAAUAUUAACUUUUGAAGAAAAAGUUUAUAUAAAUGUUUUUUUUCCACUUUAAAUUUAAGUUUAAAUGGACGGAUAGUUCUUUAUACUUUAUAUUCUUAUACUAACAACUUUUACCAAGGAAAUCAUUUUUGGAUUGUAAUGAGAUCAUGACAAGUUGUGAGCAUGCUUUUUUUUUAUUAUUAUUUUUACUUAUCCCUCUUUCUACUUACUUACUUGACUUAUACUUGAUUUUCAUAUACAUGUGAGAAGUAAAUGUAGUGACUCAAAUACAUGUUAAAAAAUACAUGCUCAUUGAAGACAAAGCAUUUUGUAGUUUUUUUAUGCAAGGUUUUAUGUAAAAUAUUACUGAUAGUUACCCCUAGAAACAACAAUGUUAAUUUAAAAUGGCAUUUGGGGCUGAUUUGGAAGAGUCUCCAUAGUUUUGGAAAUGUUGAGUAGGAGCUCAUUUUUUGAAUAUCAUGUUAAUGCGCUGUCUACCUAAAGAUGAUCCUUGUCAAGAUGAGGCCAAACAUGGUAGUGACUGAGCUAACCAGGGAUUUUAAUUGGUUGGUCCUGUAGAUUCUUUGGUAAUCAAGGACAAACCAGAGAAACCAUUAAAGUCUCCAGAUAGUAACAUUGGUCCCUGCUAAUGUAUAAAAACAAGGAAUAUGUGUGAGUGGAGCUCACAAGUCCUGAAUGCUAGAAACGAGCCCCACAAGUGGCGAAAAAACUAGCAUGGAGAAAAAAGUUUUGAAUUCUGUUAAAUUGAAGUGGUAUUUGUGAUUAGGAACUGCUCUUUUUAUUGCCUGAUUUUUUACAAAGGUGUAGAACCACUGUAAAGGGUGGACCCCACAAUUGGGUAAAAAAUAUGUGGACCUCUCAAAGGAGGAAAACGAGUAUGUG